UACGAAGGGUGCAAACGUUGCUCGGAAUUAUUGGGCGUAAAGCGCACGUAGGCGGCUAUCUAAGUCGGAUGUGAAAUCCCUCGGCUUAACCAAGGAAGUGCACCCGAAACUGGAUAGCUUGAGUACAGAAGAGGAUCGCGGAAUUCCCGGUGUAGAGGUGAAAUUCGUAGAUAUCGGGAGGAACACCAGUGGCGAAGGCGGCGAUCUGGGCUGAUACUGACGCUGAGGUGCGAAAGCGUGGGGAACAAACAGG
RNAcentral lists this ribosomal RNA (253 nucleotides) under uncultured bacterium. RNAcentral's name for it is "partial 16S ribosomal RNA". It matches the Rfam family "Bacterial small subunit ribosomal RNA", at positions 524 to 776 of the family's 1533-position model. The record is from RNAcentral.